Molecule: small RNA, 117 nt
Filed under: Pongo abelii (Sumatran orangutan)
Lineage: Eukaryota; Metazoa; Chordata; Mammalia; Primates; Hominidae
Description: Metazoan signal recognition particle RNA (ENSPPYG00000035685.1)
Rfam family: Metazoan signal recognition particle RNA
About the family: The signal recognition particle (SRP) is a universally conserved ribonucleoprotein.
Source: Rfam by way of RNAcentral
GCUGGGCGUGGUGGCUCACGCCUGUAAUCCUAGCACUUUGGGAGGCUGAGAUGGGUGGAUCACCUGAGGUCAGGAGUUCAAGACCAGCCUGGCCAAUAUGGUGAAACCCCGUCUCUA